GAGGUUUUCUGUGGAGCUAUAGCAGCAUUCUGUUGUCACACAGUGGCAUCUAGUGGUCCCAGGUGGAAUGUACUGUUAUAUUUU
Long non-coding RNA from Salarias fasciatus (jewelled blenny), 84 nucleotides. RefSeq lists it as uncharacterized. The transcript has 3 exons. NCBI's taxonomy places the organism in Eukaryota, Metazoa, Chordata, Actinopteri, Blenniiformes, Blenniidae. The record is from RefSeq and is a predicted model, not a curated record.